This is a long non-coding RNA of Canis lupus familiaris (dog), 482 nucleotides long. RefSeq lists it as uncharacterized. The transcript has 3 exons. Lineage: Eukaryota; Metazoa; Chordata; Mammalia; Carnivora; Canidae. The record is from RefSeq and is a predicted model, not a curated record.
GCUUGUUGCCUUGGUGAUGGUGAGGCACGUGAGGCAGUGAGUCUCCGAUUAUCUGCCCCCCACCCUAGUGCCCACCCGGCGCAGGUCCUACCCUGGGCUUCCUGGGUUAGGGCCUUGAGAAGCAAUGAGGAUGGUCUCUCUCCAGGCCACCGGAACAGCAGGCAGGCACGGUAUGGAGUGCAGAGAAUGCUCUGAUGCCCUCGAAGGAACUCCGUUCACCCAGGUUCUACUCCUCAGACUUUAAAUAAUCAUUAAGUAACUCCCACUUGCUGAGCAGGAAGGUCCUGAACUUUCUGCAUCUCAGAUCCUCCUCAACAUAAAGAGACCCUGCAAAGGCAGGCAGACACCACUUUUUCGGAGCGGCAGCAACUGCAUUAACUUACUGACUUUCACGGAUGCCUGAUAAGCUCCCUCCUUCCUGGGAACAGAGAGAGAGUCAGAGACACAGGCAGAGGGAGAAGCAGGCUCCCUGCAGGGAGCCC